Molecule: long non-coding RNA, 335 nt
Filed under: Capsicum annuum
Lineage: Eukaryota; Viridiplantae; Streptophyta; Magnoliopsida; Solanales; Solanaceae
Description: long non-coding RNA (CANN_LNC002366)
Source: RNAcentral
UUUUAUGGAAUAUUUUUUAGUAAGUUUGUAUGUAAAUUGAUUUUAAUUUAUGAAGUAUAAUACGCACACUUUUUUAUUUUGAAUCUUUUUUCUAUAAGUGAAAUUUUCUAUCGAAAAUAAUCUCUCUGUCUCACCUCGACGCAUAGGUACGACGAUGUAUGCUCUACCCUCUUCAGACUCUACUUUGGUGAAAUAUAUAUUGGAUAUGUCGUCGUUAUUAUUAUUGAAGUGAAGUUUUUGUUCAAAAUUGAGAGGUUGUAUAUGAGGUCCAUUUGCCUACACAGGAUAAGGUGAAAUAUUUAAAGCUUGAGUUAAUUUUUUUUAUAAGUGAAGAG